AAAAUUACUUUUAUCCUGAGAUAAUCACACAAUACUAGUCCCUUCUUCAAGAUACAUUAGUCAAAUAGUCAGAUCAUAGUCUCAGAGAACAAAUAAGACGUAUGGUCACUACUUACAUCACAUAAUCAUCAUUCAACCAUGAUUUUACAAGAUGAUAUUUAUGAUUAAACUCUUGGGUCUGACCCAUGCUGCACUUUCUCAAUAGCUCCUUUUUCAAGAUGCCGAGACGAUCGAACGCAUGAGACGGCCGACAAAUCGAAGGCAUGUCAACAACUCCGGCAACUUGCAUCCAAUAUACGACGGCGACGCCCAAACAAUCGAAGGCGCAAAGAAACGCCCACCAAAUUGAAGACACGGCAUCAACACCAUCAACCUCAGGUAAUAUCCACAUGCAAUUCCUCACAUGUGUGCCAGCAUUUUGAUCUCAACUCAACCUUUCUUCUAAUAUUCUAUGUCAAAACUCUUCUGAUACUAAACUAUAAAGCAUGUUUUUAAUGCAUCCUGACACUACCAUGACACCUAUUGAACAAUUAUUGAUUUAUAGUGCCAUCCAGACAAAUGUACUGUAUGUGACACCUUAUUAGUCUCUUCAUCAUAUCUCCAAAUGCACUUUCAUGUCUGGAAUGACAAACAUUAUUAAGUACUCCCUCUGUAACUUAAUAUAAGACGUUUUUUGAUAGUGUCAAAAAACGUCUCAUUAAGUUAUGGAGGGAGUACAACAUAAAUCAUAGUACAUGAUACUCCCUCUGUCUCAAAAUUCUCGUCUUAGAUUUGUCUAAAUACGGAUGUACCUAGUUAUGUUUUAGUGUUAGAUACAUCCGUAUCUAGACAAAUGUAUGACAAGAAUUUUGGGACGGAGGGAGUACUAUAUUAAGGAAACUCUAUACGUCACUAACAAAAUCACAUUUGUAGAGAUGACUGUCCAGCAUACGUCAGCCCCAGCAGCUCAUCAUACAAAAAGAAAGGAAGAACAACCUCUAAACUCAAGGAGCACAAAGCGGACAAGGACUGCAGAGGGAAGAAGAAAUACGAACACAGAGGCUCCUAAACGAUUAAGAAAGGAUAGUGCUGAAGAAGAUAAGGAAUUGAAGUGUGCAAGAAGCGGAAGCAACAAAAACAACAUCAAAAUCAAUGUUGGAGACAACAACAGAACCACAGCCUCGACAAAAGCUAAUAGAAAGGCAUGGAACUUCGGAAGGCCAACAUACAAAUGCCAGUAUUGCAAAGCAUUGCUAUGGUGUGAAGAAAGAUUAAAUUCAAACAAAGGAACUAAGACACCCUCUUUUGGAAUAUGCUGCAAACAGGGAAAAAUCGACCUGCCACCACUAAGAGAGCCUCCACCAUACCUCAGAAAUCUCUUAAGAAGUGAAGGACAGGAUUCAGUAAACUUCAAAGAAAAUAUAAGGUCAUACAACUCAAUGUUUUCAUUCACAUCCAUGGGAGGAGUUGUGGACAAGGAAAUAAACACUCGCAAAGGACCUUAUGUUUUUCGUUUGCAUGGACAGAAUUACCACCAUAUCGGAACUCUUUUACCUGAAGGUACAAACAAACCUCGGUUUGCACAGCUGUACAUCUAUAAUACCGAAAAUGAGGUGGCAAACAGGAUAAGUGCAUCAAGAUGCAAUGAUAAUAAAUCAACAGUGGACCCCAACAUUGUCAAAGAAUUGCAAAUAAUGCUCGACGACAACAACAUCCUCGCAAAAACAUUCAGAAUGGCAAGAGAUAGAUUCCAAGAAGGAGACUACCAUGAUUACACACUUCGGAUACUAGGAAAAAGGAACGGAACACACAACCUUCCAUCCGCAUCUGAAGUUGCAGCAUUGGUAGUAAGAGAUCCAACUGGAGAGAGUGAAGGACGUGACAUUGUUGUUGAGUACAAAAAUAUGGUGCCACAAAGGAUAUCAGAGAUCCACCCGAAAUUCAUGUCCAUGCAAUAUCCGUUAUUGUUCCCAUAUGGAGAAGAUGGUUUUAAACUUGAGAUACCGUACAAGAAAACAAAAGGAGCUAAAAACAGCAGGAAAUACGUAACGUUGUUGGACUACUAUGCAUUCUACCUACAGCAACGUCCAGACCAAGGAAUGUUAUUGCUCAAGUCUGGGCAUCUGUCACUGCAAUUUUGGGUGGAUGUAUACACAUGUAUCGAGCAAAAUAGACUAAACUGGAUCCGACACAAUCAAGGAAAGCUAAGAACUGAAAUUUACAAUGGAUUGCAGGAUGCAAUUAAGCGAGGGGACACAAGAACAGAGCAGGUUGGAAAGAGGAUAAUUGUGCCUUCAUCUUUUACAGGUGGUAGAAGGAACAAGGCACAAUACUUGCAAGAUGCAUUCGCAAUAUGUCGUUGGGCUGGAUACCCAGACCUGUUUAUAACAUUCACAUGCAAUGCAAAGUGGCCUGAGAUCCAAUACAUGCUAGAUGAAGCGGGAGGUGACCAAAAGCCAGCCGAUCGGCCAGAUAUUUUGGACAGAGUAUUUAUGAUAAAACUAAAGGAGCUAAUGAGAGACAUAAAAGAGAAGAAAUACUUUGGAGAAACACUUGCAAGUAAGUCCCAUCGACUAUCAAUAUUUACUCUUGCAUGUGUCAUCUUAUAGUCAGACAGAUUCUUACCCUUUAGUAAGAUGCAUUUCAAUUUUACCUAAAGUUAACAAACUAUUAUUAACCAACUGCAGUUAUCUACCAAUAGAAUUCCAGAGGAGAGGACUCCCGCAUGCCCACAUACUAAUAUUUUUUAAGGACAAAGACAAGUACCCAGAACCAUCGCAAAUCGAUAAAAUAAUAAGCGCUGAGAUCCCAAACAAGGACGAGGAUCCUGAGGCAUUUGAAGCUGUCGAGAACUUCAUGAUGCAUGGCCCAUGUGGAGAGGCUAAGCAAAACUCGCCAUGCAUGGUGGACCAUAGAUGCAGCAAGCAUUUCCAAAAAGAUACAAUGUUAGUACUACCAUCGAUGAGGACGGGUUUCCAGUAUAUAAAAGGAAGGACGACGGAAGGCAAAUCAAAAAGGGAGUGGUCAUGCUCGACAACAGAUUUGUUGUGCCAUACAACCGAAAUCUUCUGGUCAAAUUUCAAGCUCACAUAAAUGUCGAAUGGUGCAAUAGGUCUAGAUCAAUCAAGUACCUAUUUAAGUAUAUCGACAGAGACAACGAUCAAGUUACAACCUUGCUCAAGGAAAGGCUCGCAGCAAACGAAACUGACGAGAUCAAGAAAUACCUAGAGAUGAGAUACAUAUCAACAUCAGAAGCAUGCUGGAGGAUAUUCCAGUUUGAUCUUCACUAUCGUGAUCCAGCUGUUGAGAGGCUACCUUUCCAUCUUGAAAAUGAGCAGCAAGUGAUUUUUCCUGACUCGACUGAUCUUGACAAGAUAGUUACAAGAGAAGGAUCUAAAAG
This 3379-nucleotide long non-coding RNA is filed under the name Triticum aestivum (bread wheat). RNAcentral describes it as "long non-coding RNA (TAES_LNC022623)". The stretch from base 735 to 869 matches the Rfam family "MIR1120/MIR1122 microRNA precursor family". The record is from RNAcentral. Lineage: Eukaryota; Viridiplantae; Streptophyta; Magnoliopsida; Poales; Poaceae.